UGCCCAAGAGAUCGGGAUAACACCUGGAAACAGAUGCUAAUACCGGAUAACAACAUAUGAUGCCUAUCAACUGUUUAAAAGAUGGUUCUGCUAUCACUCUUGGAUGGACCUGCGGUGCAUUAGCUAGUUGGUAGGGUAACGGCCUACCAAGGCGAUGAUGCAUAGCCGAGUUGAGAGACUGAUCGGCCACAUUGGGACUGAGACACUGCCCAAACUCCUACGGGAGGCAGCAGCG
This 235-nucleotide ribosomal RNA is filed under the name uncultured Lactobacillus sp. RNAcentral describes it as "partial 16S ribosomal RNA". It matches the Rfam family "Bacterial small subunit ribosomal RNA", at positions 127 to 356 of the family's 1533-position model. Lineage: Bacteria; Bacillati; Bacillota; Bacilli; Lactobacillales; Lactobacillaceae. The record is from RNAcentral.